Molecule: long non-coding RNA, 2448 nt
Organism: Ananas comosus (pineapple)
Lineage: Eukaryota; Viridiplantae; Streptophyta; Magnoliopsida; Poales; Bromeliaceae
Exons: 4
Source: RefSeq, a predicted model, not a curated record
AAUUAAUCACUAAUUAAUUUUUUUUCUAAAUUAAUUUUUUAGUAAAUUAAUUUUUUUUAGUAAAUUAUUUUAUUUGAACUCAUUACUUCACUUAUUUGAACUCAUUACUUUAUUUUGUAACAUUUUUUUUUAACUAUGGUCUCAUAUGCUAUCAGAUUUUUCAAAGAUAAUAACUUAGAUAUUAAUAGCAACAUGUUUCAUCGUAUCGUAUCGUAUCCUGACUAUGCAUCGGACUUUUACCUUUCAAAUUCCGAAUGAUGUAUGAUAAUAGUAUUUGCAAAAUUAGGAAAAUGUAAACCUUAUAAUGUAUGGUUGGAAACCUUAUAUUCUAUGUAAACCUUAUAUGGUAUUUCAACAUGUUGAGUUGAAAAUUUUAUUAUGCAGCUGAAACAUUACUUCGAUAUAGGUGUGCAACAAAUGUACUCGUAUAUAUGUGUAAUUUGAAUAAGAUCCUAAUUCCAACGUUCUAUUGUAUGCAAAGUUAAUUAUAAUCAAUUAUAAGUAUUCAAUUUGAAUGAAAAAUAAUUAAGUGAUUUACCAUUGUACAUCUUGUUGAAGUAUCUACCUAAUUCAAAACCUACUUCUAUAUUAUAAAAAGGAAUGACAGUUAUAGGUAUGUCAAGGUACAUCUAUAGUGGUGAAGGAUGCAUCCAUGUACCUACCAGUGAUACACCCUCUUAUGAAAAUGAGCGACAGCUAUAGGGGUGCCAAGAUACAUCUAUAGUGCUGACACAACACCAAAACCCAUGUUUGCUGACACUAUUUUACUGGCUCACAUUAAAAGAGCCAGUAAAAGCAAUUUUAUGCUGGCAUUCUUCUUAAGGGCCCUCACUAUUUACCCACCCUAUUGUUUAAGACUGAUAUAACCCAAAAAAAUUCCUAAACCGCCAGCCUUCCCCUUCCCGCGGGAUUUUUUGGCGGCUACAUUUUGAUUUCGUGCACACAUAUACAGGAAAAAAAACUUUGUUUCCAAAAUCAAAACCCACGCGAAGCUGCUCCCCGCUCCACCACCAUCUCCGGCCUCGUUCUCCAGCCUUCGCCUUCGAACCGCCAACCUUCGCCUUCGUGAGGGAUUUUUUGGCCAGCCUUCGCCUUCGCCUUCGCCUUCGCCUUCGCGCGGGAUUUUUUGGCGGCUGCAUUUUUAUUUCGCGCGCACACAGGGAAAAAAAAAUCCUAACUUGUUCCCCAAAUUGAAACCCACACGAAGCCUUUGACGACUCCGGCUUGUUCCCCCGCUCCACCACCAUCUCCGGCCCUGUUCUCCACAUUCGUGACUACAACUUCGGCGAAACCCACAUCCCUAUGCACGCAACCUUGUUCUCAAGCUGAAGGUCGAAGCUUUGUGGAGCGUCUUCUCCGACGACGCACGCGACAUAGAAUAUCUUCAGCCAACAAGUUUGGAGUGAGGAGGCUCAGCAAUUGACUAUGUCACGUACAAAGUUUCAGCGAGGACGUUCUAUGAUUGGUCCUUAAUCUGCAACAAACACCUUUCGUAAUUCUAUUCAGAAAGAUGUACCAUCAAGUUCACACUCGUUAAGGCAAUCUGAAGGUCGCCCUCAUGAGAAUUUUUUUGAUUUGGGUAUUGAUAAUGACGACCUGUUUAGGCCUGAUGAUGAUCAACCUAAAGAAAGUAUAGGUAUUCAUUCAUAAAACCUAUAGGAGUAUAGUUUAGAGAAUUAAUUGAUCACCGUUAAAUAAUUAUUUUUUAACUAUCUCUUAUGAUUAUUUGAGAACAGAUGCUUCUAAAAAGUCUAGGAAUGGGAGAGGUCCUACUCGCAUGCACAAAAUAUGGGCUAGACAUGAUGAUGAUUUGUUGGCAUUAAAUUUUAAUGAAUUUGAUCAGCCUGUCGGCAAUGAAGCUGCACAAUUCACAAACUUUUUAGGCACUGUUGCUAAAAGUGGAAAAAAUGCACCAUUGACAUAUAAAAUUGGAGGCACAUGUCUUUGGACAACAAAAAGAUAAUGUGGAGUAUUGUUAAGGUAUCAAUUUUUUAGCUGGUUUGUCUUUGUUUUUAAUAUCUAAAUAUCUAUAAGUAAACAAAUUUGAGAAUUUCUUACAGUUAAAGUAUAACCUUGGAGAUGAUAAUUGGCCGUGGGUUAUGAAAGCUCUUAGAAAAAAAUGGAAGGACUUCAAAUCUGAUCUUGAAAAAAAAGCACUACGAUGCUCACAGUACUUAUGAAGAUCGUCUUGCUGAUCGUGAUUCGAGAGUCCUCCCAGAGCAGUGGAGACAAUUGAUUGAAUAUUGGGACAGUGAAGAAGGACAGACAUGUAGUUUAAGAAACAAAGGUAAUCGAUCUAAGCAAAUUACUACUCACACUGCUGGCUCAAAAAGUUUUGCUCGUAUUCGUGAAGAAAAGCGAAAGGAAAAAGGAGUAUUGCCAACUAGAGCCGAACUAUUUAAGAUUACUCAUAUUCACAAAAAUGGAGAUCCAAUGACUGAAGAAUGU